Molecule: non-coding RNA, 205 nt
Organism: Pelobates cultripes (western spadefoot toad)
Lineage: Eukaryota; Metazoa; Chordata; Amphibia; Anura; Pelobatidae
Source: the annotation of a GenBank genome assembly
CUGAAAUACUACAUACAACCAGUGGUGUAUUUUGGUUUUGUGCUACCCUAGGCAAUUUUUUAAAAUUUUACUCCACCCAGCCUCCCUACCUUUGGGAGUGGUGGCAUGGAGUCUCUAUGUCCCUGUGGUCCAGUGGAGUUGAUGGGCUGAGUGGCUUGGCGUGCGGUCCAUGGGGUCCAGUGGAGCUGCUGAGUGGCUGGGCGUG